AACGAACGCUAAUACCGCAUAAUGCAGCGGCAUCGCGAGAUGACAGUUGUUAAAGAUUUAUCGCUUGAAGAGGAGCUUGCGGCAAAUUAGCUAGUUGGUAAGGUAACGGCUUACCAAGGCGACGAUCUGUAUCCGGUCUAAGAGGACGGUCGGACACACUGACACUGAAUAACGGGUCACACUCCUACGGGAGGCAGCAGUCGGGAAUUUUGGGCAGUGGGCGAAAGCCUGAUCCUUCACCCCCGCGUGAAGGAUGAAUUUUUUCGGAAUGUAAACUUCGUAAGAAUAGGAAGAAUAAAUGACGGUACUAUUUGUAAGGUCCGGCUAACUACGUGCCAGCAGCCGCGGUAAUACGUAAGGACCAAGCGUUGUUCGGAUUUACUGGGCGUAAAGGGCGCGUAGGCGGCAAUUCAAGUCAGCUGUGAAAUCUCCGGGCUUAACUCGGAACGGUCAGCUGAUACUGCUUUGCUAGAGUGCAGAGGGGGCAAUCGUAUUUCUUGGUUGUAGCGGUGAAAUGCGUAUAUAUCAAGAAGGAACACCUGAAGGUGAAGACGGGUUGCUUGGGCUGACCCUGACGCUGAGGCCCGAAAGCUUGGGGUACCAAACGGGAUUACACUACCCCCGGUAGU
This 629-nucleotide ribosomal RNA is filed under the name uncultured bacterium. RNAcentral describes it as "bacterial SSU rRNA". It matches the Rfam family "Bacterial small subunit ribosomal RNA", at positions 155 to 794 of the family's 1533-position model. The record is from RNAcentral.